CAUAUCGACCUAGAAAGCCGAAUUCAGUUGGCCCGUUACCAAAAACAAUAUGCUGCCCUAGUCACGUUAGACAUUUCUAAAGCAUACGAUAGUGUGGAAUAUCCUUUAUUAAUAAAAAGGAUGCAGGAUAUUGGAUUGCCAGACUACUUCGUGACGUGGACUGCAGAGUUCUUGCAGGGCAGGGAGUUUUACUGUGCACAAAGCGGAAUUUCAUCGGGAAAAUUCAGACAAACACGCGGGGUUCCUCAAGGGGCAGUUUUGUCACCGCUGCUGUUUAACAUCCUACUCAGCUCCAUUCCUCAUCAUCAAAAUGUAAGCACGUACGUUUACGCUGAUGAUAUAGCGUUUUUUGCAUCAGCAAGUGAUAUUCAGUCACUGUACGAAUGCUUGCAGAAAUACUUAUGCGAGCUAGAAGCAUGGCUGGACAGUAUUCGCUUGUCCCUUAAUGUAAAUAAGAGUGCCGUUCUUGUCUUUCCCCUACAAGACCCAGUUACUAUAUCCCUUUCAUACCGUCACUCCACUAUCCCACAAGUGGAAAAGGUCAAGUACCUUGGAAUUAUUUAUAAUGGUAAUCUUGAUUGGCGUCCGCAUAUUGAACAUAUAACUUCAAAAGCUUCUCGUGCAAUGGGGAUAUUACGAGGGAUAAGUAAUUAUCGAUGGGGCAUGCGCAGAGACACACUCAUAAUGAUUUACCGCAUGUACAUUCGACCUAUACUAGAGUUCGGUUGUGUAUUAUUCUCCGGCGCCGCGGCUUACAAGCUACGCCCACUAGUUUUGCUACAACGGGAAGCGCUUCGCUUAUGUCUGGGGCUUCCAAAGUUUGUAGCCAACGCUGUACUCUACAAGGAAGCACGAUUACCUUCCCUUGAAAUGAGAUUUAAAAUACUCACCGUUCAAGCGUUUAUAAGGCUCUAUGAAUCCCCACUAAGAAGGUCUCAGUCCAUCUUCAUCAAACAACGAGUCCAAUUUUUUGGAGUCAGAUGGCCACGGUUUCACACGCCACAAGUCAUUGUAUCGCAAUCAUUAUUGAAUCCGUUAGACGUAAAUAUAAAUGAUAUAAUCACGGAAAACAGCACCUCAAAUUCACUAGUUAUUACUUAUGAUGACCUAUACCCAAAUAAUGCAAAGCAGCUUCCCUCGCAUAUUCUUAACGGCUUACUCCAGGAUCACUUAAAUCAACUCCACACUAACGUUAUUAUAGCAACGGAUGCUUCGCAGAUUGAUGAAAAGGCAGGAGUUGGAAUCUUCUCAUCAUCAUUGGACUGGUCUUUUUCUAUUCGGCUUCCCGACUUCACUCCAAUAUACCUAGCGGAAUUCCUAGCUGUUGUCCUAGCUUUACGAAAGCUACAGUCUUCCAGGUCAACGGCGGUAAUAAUCACAGAUUCUUUGUCGCUGUGCACCUCACUUACUGCUCCCGGCGAGACACACAUAUUGAAAACUUUGAACUCACUGGCUCCAAGUCAUUUGAGAAGUUUACGAUUAAUAUGGGUACCUGGCCACAAAGGCAUAUUUAUGAAUGAGGUGGCAGACAGCUUGGCCAAGGCUUCUAUCAGCGGCCCAGUGCUUCCCCUUCUUCCAACAACGGGCUUUAUCACGUCCGCCAGGUUCAGAAGAUACAUCCUUUUAACAUCUCAAUCGAACCUCAAAUCAUCAUUGGAACUACGCCACUUACAAUUCCCUUGGAGCAGGAAGUUUUGCAAAACAAGACAAACGGAGGUUACAUUAACGAGACUACGUUGUCGAGUCCCAUCUCUAAAUUUUUACAUGCACCGAUCUGGUCUGGCAAUAUCCCCAUUGUGCCAUUUUUGCAAUGCAUUAGAGACGAUUGAGCACUACCUACUGGAAUGCCGGCGUUUCUCCUCCAUGAGGAAAAUGACAUUAGAAAUUACAGUGCGACAGCUUGGUCUGCCAUUGAACACUCCGGUACUGCUGUCUUUCGGAGCGUCUGUGCUUGGGUACUCACACAGGAAUGUGUGCUUCGCCUUAGAAAAAUUUCUUAUUGAAUCAAACCGAUUUCAUUGAUGACCAUAUUAUUCUAUUCAUUCCUCCUCUAUUGCCUCACUGAUAUAUUAAAGAUAAUUAUUUUUUUUCUCCUCUACGUAGCAUGACAAUCUACUGAACCGUUUCGAUUUUCCCUCGCCUAAAUUCAUGUAACAAAAUUUUAGAUUUUUACCUCCUUUUCUGAACACAUAAGCAAAGUCUGCCCGACUCUUGGCCAAUCCCCGCGAGUGGGUAAGCGCCAAACUCAUCAAGGACAUCAUCAUCAUCAUCACACUUGGUCAUGGCUGACUUUCGGAGCAGUUUCACGGCCGGUUUCUCGGGACUAAGCUGUGGGCACGGAGGCAACCUUGGAUUGGAAGCAGCAACCACCCGGCGGCCUUGUGGCGCAGGUUGGGGCACCGUGGGAUUUACCUGGCGCAAGGAGCUUCCCACCGGAAGCGCCUUGGUGGCUGGAGCGGUCUGCUUGCGUGAGGCAAAGCCACCGAAGGGGGAGCUCCCUACCAUCUACGGGGACGUCGGCCAUAGGGAGCGUGGCCUAUCAGCGAGAAGCACCACCGGCCGAACAGACCAGUGCAGCCAAGAAGGCCACAUGAGCCGAGACUGCCCAACUGCUCACUGUGGAGGACGACGCGGAGGCCUCAGGUGUGGCGAGGAAGGCCACAUGAGCAGAGACUGAAUGCAGACACGUGGGCCCGACACAGCGAGAUGUGGGUCGCUACGCUUCGCGUACUGCCAGAUUAUGGGUUUUGUGUGUAUUUUUUGGUUUAUUAGAUCGUUAAAUAUAAAGAAAUCUUAAGAUUUCUACUUUUUUGAUAAUUAGAAUAAUAAAUAUAUUGUUCCGCCUUCUA
Long non-coding RNA from Dermacentor albipictus, 2849 nucleotides. RefSeq lists it as uncharacterized. The record is from RefSeq and is a predicted model, not a curated record. NCBI's taxonomy places the organism in Eukaryota, Metazoa, Arthropoda, Arachnida, Ixodida, Ixodidae.